Molecule: long non-coding RNA, 415 nt
Organism: Cynara cardunculus var. scolymus (artichoke)
Lineage: Eukaryota; Viridiplantae; Streptophyta; Magnoliopsida; Asterales; Asteraceae
Exons: 2
Source: RefSeq, a predicted model, not a curated record
UUUUUUGGGGGCACGUCGGAAGCGAGCGAGAUGACAACCGGAGACGAGAACGGUCAAAAGCUUCUGCGUCUGUUGUGUUUGGUCGGUGCCGGAAGUAAUUAAUCGUCCUUGGUACGGCUGUGUUCAACAAGUGGAGAGGUGUAAAGAAGUCCACGUUGCGACAUCAACAGCACCGGCAAUUGUUGGAGGAGCCAUCGAAAGUCGUCGAUUAAGAACUUCAUGUUGAGGGUACACUUCAAAUUAGGGCUUCGUAUGGAUCUCAUCUGCCACGAAAUGGUUUCUUCUCUGAUCAACUUGUUAUUAUUUGUAUCGGUAACUGAAAAUUGUGUCAUUUCUUUUUCGAGUUAUAUUAAACGCGGUUCGUCUUGGUAUUCGUGUUGGUCCGAUCUUGAAUAAAUACCUUAGAUGUCAUAUA